AAACAUUCUGCUGCAAUCACAACAAAACCAGCAAUUUGGAAGCUUGAGUAUUUCCACAUGAUUUAUUGGGCGGUUAUCGCCUUUUCUGCUAGAUUUUGAGAUGGUUCCAUGGCAUUGGAGAUAAUUACACAGCAGCACGUUCUGGAUCAGAUUGUGCCAAAAUUGUGCAUAAGACAACUUAGUUAUGCCAUGUUUGCCUAAGCUUGAUAUUGUUUUUUUUUUGAAGCUUGAUAUUGAAUUGUUCUAGAUUUGCUGGUUUAAAUGUGAGGUGCACUUGAGGACAAUUAAGAAGAGGCUAAACCUGUCUGAAACAUGUAAUGAGUAGAUAAAUGGUUAAGAAUUUGAUAAAAUUGUCGAACCAACAAAAAUUGAAGUGCAGUAAUUAAGAUGACCUAAGUGAAAAAGUCAUUGCUGUGUUUGAGCAACUUUCAGUUUCCUUUUAUUUGAUUUACAUUUUAAGUAAAUCUAGAAUAUUUGUACUGCAUUUCUAUGAGGUACCAAGCCAUGAUUUCUUCUUGUGAUAGGCGGCUAGCUCUUUUCUUGGAAAGGCAAGUAUAGUCGGUCUAGAGAAAGCAGUAGAAGUAUUAGAUACACUUGGGAGCAGCAUGACAAACUUGAAUUCCGGGGGGUUUAUGACAGGAACGGCAUCAAGAGGGAAUAAAGUAUCUAUUCUAGCAUUCGAGGUAGCUAAUACAAUCACAAAAGGUGCAAAUUUAUUGCAAUCUCUUUCCAAAGAAAAUGUUCAGUAUUUAAAGAAGGAAAUUCUACCUAGGGUUUAUGACAGGAACGACGUCAAGAGGGAAUAAAGUAUCUAUUCUAGCAUUCGAGGUAGCGAAUACCAUCACCAAAGGUGCAAAUUUAUUGCAAUCUCUUUCCCAAGAAAAUGUUCAGUAUUUAAAGAAGGAAAUUCUACCUUCAAAAGGAGUGCAACAGUUGGUUUCUACUAAUAUGACGGAGCUGCUUACUAUUGCUGCUGCCGACAAAAGGUUAGCAUUUUGAACAUCCACUCCCUACCCCGACACGUACUAAAAGUAAAGUGAAAUGAAACUGGACAAACCGAGGCAUGUGUGGUAUUGUCAUGCAUCAGGGAG
This 1091-nucleotide long non-coding RNA is filed under the name Nicotiana benthamiana. RNAcentral's name for it is "long non-coding RNA (NBEN_LNC042652)". The record is from RNAcentral. Lineage: Eukaryota; Viridiplantae; Streptophyta; Magnoliopsida; Solanales; Solanaceae.